This 590-nucleotide unclassified non-coding RNA is filed under the name uncultured Pseudoalteromonas sp. RNAcentral's name for it is "partial 16S-23S ribosomal RNA intergenic spacer". The stretch from base 85 to 158 matches the Rfam family "tRNA". Lineage: Bacteria; Pseudomonadati; Pseudomonadota; Gammaproteobacteria; Alteromonadales; Pseudoalteromonadaceae. The record is from RNAcentral.
CCUCCUUAUACGAUUUAGAACUUAUUUGUUCGUAGUGUCCACACAGAUGAUUGUUAAUUGUAAAGAGAACAACACUUAUUGUUUGGGUCUGUAGCUCAGCUGGUUAGAGCGCACCCCUGAUAAGGGUGAGGUCGGUAGUUCAAAUCUACUCAGACCCACCACUUUGCUCCCAUACUUCGUUAUGGCACGCCUCGUUUAGUGAACUAAACGUCGUUGUACCAUGCCUUGUCUGGAAACAAAGUCGGUAUACAAACAGUAAGACCAGCAUAUGUGGGGCUAUAGCUCAGCUGGGAGAGCGCCUGCCUUGCACGCAGGAGGUCAGCAGUUCGAUCCUGCUUAGCUCCACCACUUUACUUCUUAAAAAUAAAUAUUCUUUUAUCGGGUAGCACAAUCACCUGAGAAUAGAGUGUGUUUAAUUUUGAGAAGUUUUUUGAUUCUCUGCUCUUUAAAAAUUUGGAAAAGCUGAUAAUAAAAAUUCGUAUGAAUAACAUUGUUAUUUGUACAGAGUUUUCAAAAGUAAAAAAGAAUGAUAGCAGUAUCAUUCAGUGCCAAUUUAAUCCUCGGAUUAAUUGGUAUCUACUUUAGUAUUU